Molecule: ribosomal RNA, 245 nt
Filed under: uncultured bacterium
Lineage: Bacteria
Description: partial 16S ribosomal RNA
Rfam family: Bacterial small subunit ribosomal RNA
Source: RNAcentral
UACAGAGGGUGCAAGCGUUAUUCGGAAUUACUAGGUGUAAAGGGCGUGUAGGUGGUUAUGCAAGUCAUAUGUGAAAUCUUAGGGCUUAACCCUAGGCCUGCAUAUGAAACUACAUGACUUGAGUAUAGGAUGGGAAAACGGAAUUCCUGGUGUAGCGGUGAAAUGUGUAGAUACCAGGAGGAACACCGAUGGCGAAAGCGGUUUUCUGGCCUAAUACUGACACUGAGGCGCGAAAGCUAGGGGAU